This 468-nucleotide ribosomal RNA is filed under the name uncultured bacterium. RNAcentral describes it as "partial 16S ribosomal RNA". It matches the Rfam family "Bacterial small subunit ribosomal RNA", at positions 28 to 507 of the family's 1533-position model. The record is from RNAcentral.
GACGAACGCUGGCGGCGUGCUUAACACAUGCAAGUCGAACGGAAAGGCCCUGCUUUUGUGGGGUGCUCGAGUGGCGAACGGGUGAGUAACACGUGAGUAACCUGCCCUUGACUUUGGGAUAACUUCAGGAAACUGGGGCUAAUACCGGAUAGGAGCUCCUGUUGCAUGGUGGGGGUUGGAAAGUUUCGGCGGUUGGGGAUGGACUCGCGGCUUAUCAGCUUGUUGGUGGGGUAGUGGCUUACCAAGGCUUUGACGGGUAGCCGGCCUGAGAGGGUGACCGGCCACAUUGGGACUGAGAUACGGCACAGACUCCUACGGGAGGCAGCAGUGGGGAAUAUUGCACAAUGGGCGGAAGCCUGAUGCAGCAACGCCGCGUGCGGGAUGACGGCCUUCGGGUUGUAAACCGCUUUCGCCUGUGACGAAGCGUGAGUGACGGUAGUGGGUAAAGAAGCACCGGCUAACUACGUG